Molecule: long non-coding RNA, 227 nt
Filed under: Lathyrus oleraceus (garden pea)
Lineage: Eukaryota; Viridiplantae; Streptophyta; Magnoliopsida; Fabales; Fabaceae
Description: Pisum sativum (pea) long non-coding RNA (PSAT_LNC001054)
Source: RNAcentral
GAGAACAAAAAAAAGUGUGAGGAUGACUGAUAAACUAGUUCAUAUCUUAUGACUGAUGGUUAAUGGUGGAUAAUUAAUAACUUAUAAUUUAUGCCUGAUGAUUGAUGAUUGAUGAUAGCUGAUAAGCUAAUUGAAAUUUUUGGUAAAAUUAACAAUUCAACUAACUUAUAAAUGUAAAAUGAUAUAAAAAAGAAUUUAAUACAUAUUUAUUUUAUGUUAGAGUAAAA